This 433-nucleotide ribosomal RNA is filed under the name uncultured bacterium. Its description in RNAcentral is "partial 16S ribosomal RNA". It matches the Rfam family "Bacterial small subunit ribosomal RNA", at positions 29 to 507 of the family's 1533-position model. The record is from RNAcentral.
AACGAACGCUGGCGGCAUGCCUAACACAUGCCAGUCGAACGAGACCUUCGGGUCUAGUGGCGCACGGGUGCGUAACGCGUGGGAAUCUGCCCUUGGGUUCGGAAUAACAGUUGGAAACGACUGCUAAUACCGGAUGAUGACGUAAGUCCAAAGAUUUAUCGCCCAAGGAUGAGCCCGCGUAGGAUUAGCUAGUUGGUGAGGUAAAGGCUCACCAAGGCGACGAUCCUUAGCUGGUCUGAGAGGAUGAUCAGCCACACUGGGACUGAGACACGGCCCAGACUCCUACGGGAGGCAGCAGUGGGGAAUAUUGGACAAUGGGCGAAAGCCUGAUCCAGCAAUGCCGCGUGAGUGAUGAAGGCCUUAGGGUUGUAAAGCUCUUUUACCCGGGAUGAUAAUGACAGUACCGGGAGAAUAAGCGCCGGCUAACUCCGUG